Gordionus sp. m RMFG-2023 is the source of this 422-nucleotide long non-coding RNA. RefSeq lists it as uncharacterized. The transcript is spliced from 12 exons. NCBI's taxonomy places the organism in Eukaryota, Metazoa, Nematomorpha, Gordioida, Chordodea, Parachordodidae. The record is from RefSeq and is a predicted model, not a curated record.
AAACAGUUAAUACAAGUGAAUUGGUUACAGAUGCCAUGACUCUAAGAAAUAAUACCGAGCAAAUAGUUAUACUGAUGAAAGAAAUGACUCCAGAUUACUUCGACGCUUCGCGUGUUAAAGCUAACUCCAUAAUCGCCAAGGCUAGGGAUAUAGCUAGUAUGGCUAACGUUAUGACUGAAAGGGCGAAAUCAAUUUGUUGAAGCAAAUGAUUAUAGCUACCAAGCCUCCUAUUUAUGUUAUACAUUCAAAAAAUUAACUAGAUAUGGUCCUAAAGACUUAUUUGGAAAAUUUACAAUUAAAUUGAUUUAUUAACAUGGUCAUUUUUUCUUAUUUUUUAUAAUAGUAAUUUGCUAAUAUUUUCAAGUUUUUUAAAAAUAAUUUACUAUUGUCUUAUUAUUAUUUCGAUAUCAUAAUAAAAAUUU